Molecule: ribosomal RNA, 497 nt
Filed under: uncultured bacterium
Lineage: Bacteria
Description: partial 16S ribosomal RNA
Rfam family: Bacterial small subunit ribosomal RNA
Source: RNAcentral
GAUGAACGCUGGCGGCGUGCCUAAUACAUGCAAGUCGAGCGAACGGACGAGAAGCUUGCUUCUCUGAUGUUAGCGGCGGACGGGUGAGUAACACGUGGAUAACCUACCUAUAAGACUGGGAUAACUUCGGGAAACCGGAGCUAAUACCGGAUAAUAUUUUGAACCGCAUGGUUCAAAAGUGAAAGACGGUCUUGCUGUCACUUAUAGAUGGAUCCGCGCUGCAUUAGCUAGUUGGUAAGGUAACGGCUUACCAAGGCAACGAUGCAUAGCCGACCCGAGAGGGUGAUCGGCCACACUGGAACUGAGACACGGUCCAGACUCCUACGGGAGGCAGCAGUAGGGAAUCUUCCGCAAUGGGCGAAAGCCUGACGGAGCAACGCCGCGUGAGUGAUAAAGGUCUUCGGAUCGUAAAACUCUGUUAUUAGGGAAGAACAUAUGUGUAAGUAACUGUGCACAUCUUGACGGUACCUAAUCAGAAAGCCACGGCUAACUACGUG